AACGAACGCUGGCGGCAUGCCUAACACAUGCAAGUCGAACGAGACCUUCGGGUCUAGUUGCGCACGGGUGCGUAACGCGUGGGAACCUGCCCUUAGGUUCGGAAUAACUCCCCGAAAGGGGUGCUAAUACCGGAUAAUGUCUUCGGACCAAAGAUUUAUCGCCUUUGGAUGGGCCCGCGUUGGAUUAGCUAGUUGGUAGUGUAAAAGCCUACCAAGGCGACGAUCCAUAGCUGGUCUGAGAGGAUGAUCAGCCACACUGGGACUGAGACACGGCCCAGACUCCUACGGGAGGCAGCAGUGGGGAAUAUUGGACAAUGGGCGAAAGCCUGAUCCAGCAAUGCCGCGUGAGUGAUGAAGGCCUUAGGGUUGUAAAGCUCUUUUACCCGGGAUGAUAAUGACAGUACCGGGAGAAUAAGCUCCGGCUAACUCCGUG
RNAcentral lists this ribosomal RNA (433 nucleotides) under uncultured bacterium. RNAcentral's name for it is "partial 16S ribosomal RNA". It matches the Rfam family "Bacterial small subunit ribosomal RNA", at positions 29 to 507 of the family's 1533-position model. The record is from RNAcentral.